Molecule: long non-coding RNA, 1644 nt
Filed under: Marmota monax (woodchuck)
Lineage: Eukaryota; Metazoa; Chordata; Mammalia; Rodentia; Sciuridae
Source: RNAcentral
CUGGGGAAGCCCCUUUAGGCAGUGACGUGCCUUGAGGUUCAACUUGAACUCAACUUGACCUGAGUACUAUUUGUCAUCACUUCUUUCCACUUCCCCUCUCUGCCUCUAUCAAAAUCCUAGGCUGCUCUCAAGAUUAAAUGGAAAUGUCAGCUCCCCACAGAAGCCUCCCAGGUUCCUAGUUGUACUCCCUGCUUCCCUUCCCCCUGUCCCCCCGACUUUAACUGUAAGUAGCUUCAAUCUCUCAGGAAAUUCUCCUCACAUUUGCUGAUGGGUCAGAGAGCCCCUGGCUGCCAAACCCUGCCUUACUUUGGAAGCUAAGGCUGAAUCUCCUUCACCUAUGUACCCCCUUCCGGGAAUUCAGUGACUGUGGGAUUGACUUGGACCUGAGCAUCUGUGGAGGUGAAUUUGGGGGGCUGAGGGGAGGCACAGCAGUGGCCUGAGCUGCCAAGUUGCCUGGACUCCUUGACAUGUGCCUCUUCUACUCCAGGAGGAGGAUUGAUCCUACCUGACUAAUGAUCCCUGUGCUAGCUAGAGCUGGGAGGCCCAGCCCAUGUGUCCUUCCCGCUGGUACUUCAAAUGCAACAGUCAUGCCAAGCCCCCUGGGAUUGGAGGGAUUCUACUGUGUAGGUUCCAUUCUCUAGGUCCAGGGCCCAUUCUCCCCACUGAGUGAACAUAGAACUGAUGUAAUUUAAAUUUGCAAUUUAAGAUGGGAUUUGGUCUGGGAAGUAGCAGUAACUUAACCAAAAAUAAAUUUUUUGAAGGAAAUAAAUAGAAAUAGACAUCGAUUUUUUAUUCAUAGCAGAUGCACAAAACUUAUUUUAUGCCAUACUUUGAAAAAUGUAUUUAGGACAAAGAUUGCCUGAAUCAUUGAAGGAACUUUCCACUAUAAAACAAUCGAUCUCAGAUUUGUUACUACAGAACAAGAAGGAAGGGAAAUAUCCACUCAUCAGUCACCUCUCCAUGGACUAAACUAUCUGAAAGGUCAAAAACUAAACCAAAACCAAAAAACUAAAAACCUGCGUUAUAAAACUAACAGUAAAAUACGUAAAGUGCAAACAGAAUUGAAGCACUUUUGCUGUUAGAGUGAAUGCUAAUCGACACAAUUGCUCUCUGGAGACUAAUAGUCACUGGGCCCAGCAAGGUUGGGAAGCCACACCUGAGAUUGCUACAUUAAGCCCAGGACCUUGGAGAGGGGAUAAAUGGCCUCAGGUUGGUAUCUGACACUCUUAGUGUUCACAAAAAAAGCAAAACAAACUUGCUGGAGGAAAACAUCUCAUUUUAAAGCUAUUGGUUUCCCAUAUAUUAAAAUCUAGCAACCAUGAGUUCAAAAUCAAAGAUUACUGAGCACAAAAAGAAACAACAAGACGUCACUGUUUGAAAGGCAGAGAAAUAACAGUGAUUUAGACCCCCAAGGAUUUAAGAUUUUGGAAUUAUCAGAUAUAGGAUAUAAAAUAUGUAGGAAAUGUUGAAAGAAAUUUAAAAAAUGAGAUCGUAAAAAUGUAUAGGCCACAAAGACUAACCAAAUGACCAAACAACUUUAAAAGAACCAAAUAGGACAUUUAGACAUAAAGAAUGUGAUCACCGAAACAGAAAAUGAGAUGGAUACAUUAAACAGCAGAUUCAACAGUUAAAAGGAGAAACAAA